This 423-nucleotide ribosomal RNA is filed under the name uncultured bacterium. RNAcentral describes it as "bacterial SSU rRNA". It matches the Rfam family "Bacterial small subunit ribosomal RNA", at positions 355 to 770 of the family's 1533-position model. The record is from RNAcentral.
UGGGGAAUUUUGGACAAUGGGCGCAAGCCUGAUCCAGCAAUGCCGCGUGCAGGACGAAGGCCUUCGGGUUGUAAACUGCUUUUGUACGGAACGAAACGGUCUCUUCUAAUACAAGGGGCUAAUGACGGUACCGUAAGAAUAAGCACCGGCUAACUACGUGCCAGCAGCCGCGGUAAUACGUAGGGUGCGAGCGUUAAUCGGAAUUACUGGGCGUAAAGCGUGCGCAGGCGGUUAUAUAAGACAGAUGUGAAAUCCCCGGGCUCAACCUGGGACCUGCAUUUGUGACUGUAUAGCUAGAGUACGGUAGAGGGGGAUGGAAUUCCGCGUGUAGCAGUGAAAUGCGUAGAUAUGCGGAGGAACACCGAUGGCGAAGGCAAUCCCCUGGACCUGUACUGACGCUCAUGCACGAAAGCGUGGGGAGCA